RNA transcript from Schistocerca serialis cubense, 2507 nucleotides. It is a transcript of the gene named ribosome biogenesis protein WDR12 homolog, with no coding region annotated. The transcript has 10 exons. Lineage: Eukaryota; Metazoa; Arthropoda; Insecta; Orthoptera; Acrididae. The record is from RefSeq and is a predicted model, not a curated record.
AGAUUAUUGAAGUAACUUGCGUUGUGAAACGAAAGUCUUUGGAUUGGUUUGUUAGUGGUUUAAAUGAUGGCUGUGGCGGAGCUGCAAGUGCGGUUGUUUACGAAACAAAGUCAGUAUGCAGUUCCAGACACGCCGUUUUCUGUUGCUUCCAAUGUAACGUGCGUCGAACUGAACGCAUUGGUCAACGAGCUGCUAAGAGAAAACAGGACGUCAGAGUGGCAUGAUGUAGAGUUCGAUUUCUUGCUAUCCGGAGAAUUCCUUCGUGUUUCACUUCUGGAACAUCUUGAAGAAAGAGUUAUAUCUAGUGAAGGCACAGUUGACAUAGAAUAUGUGGAACGCUUCCCAGCCCCAGAACCGAAGGACUGUCUUCUACACGACGACUGGGUUUCCGCUGUACAAAUUAAAAAUAAAUGGAUUCUCUCAGGUUGCUAUGACAACACUUUGCACAUAUGGACAAGCAAAGGAAAACACAAAUUAACAAUACCUGGGCACACAGGACCAGUAAAAGCUCUCUCAUGGAUUUCACUUGAUGACAAUCGAGCAUCAUUUGUCAGUGCAUCUCAAGAUCAGACUGCUAUGAUAUGGGAAUGGAAUGUCUCAAACAAUUCUGUUGAAUGUAUUCACAUUUGUCGCGGACAUGAAAGGUCUGUGGAAUGCAUUGGAGUGAGCCCAAAUGCUGUUCUUUUAGCAACUGGAGGUUGGGAUGCAAUGCUGAAGAUUUGGUCAGCUUCACUGGAGGAGCAAACACAUACAGAUGGUGUUUCAUCCACUAAGAGGUUUAAAGGAGAACAUGGAAAAUCACAAAUUAGGACUCCUGUACUUACUUUAAAAGGCCAUAAAGAGUGCAUUUCUUCUGCCUUGUGGAUUGACUCCAGUGAAAUAUGCACUUCCUCUUGGGAUCACACAUUAAGAACAUGGGAUGCUGAACUUGGUGGCAUUAAAACUGAACUUGUUGGGAACAAGCCAUUUUUUGAUGCUGAUUGGUCCCCAUUGAACAGAACACUUGUAACAGCCUCAGCUGACAGGCAUGUGCGUUUAUAUGACCUGAGGUCAAAAGAGGGUUCCUUAAUCAAAAACACAUUUACCUCACACACACAAUGGGUGCAGAGUGUAUGUUGGUCUAAAACUGAUGAACACCUUUUUGUAUCUGGAAGCUAUGAUCAGGAUAUGAAGCUUUGGGACACAAGAAGUCCAAAGGCACCUUUGUAUGAUAUGAGUGGACAUGAAGACAAGGUGCUAUGCUGUGAUUGGUCAAGACCUGAUCUUGUGGUGUCAGGUGGUGCAGAUAACACUGUCCGUAUUUUUAAAACAAAACAUAUCAAGGUAGAAGAGAUGUAAUAAGUAACAGAUCUUAAAGUGCUAAUAAUGUGCAAAAGACAACACUACACAGUAGGUGUAUAACCAAGAUGAGCUACGAAUGAACAUUCAAAGGACUUCCUUCCACCAAUGGAGGUUCCACGGAAUGUGAGCAAGAAACAUCACAAAGAAGAACACGUUGUGCAAAAGCGGGAAGCUACUGCAGGGAAGAAGCAAGUUAUGAGAAAGCGGUGUAAGAAGUGCGCGGAACAAGGCAAGUGCACUGAUACACCAUACGAGUGUACAACCUACACAGACAAACCUGGAUACUGCUUGAACUGCUGUAUAAUUUCCCACAAGUGGCAAAAACUCGAUAAUAUCGGGGAAAUUCCAAUUAUCAAAGACAACUUCUUUUAUUUCUUUUGACAUUGCAAUGUUUCUUUUUAUGACGUGAAACGUUAGAACUUUUUUCACGAGUACUCAGAAAAUGAGGUUUUCUUUUGUGUUAAGUCGACUUAUUUCUUAUUGCGUUGUAAAACGUUCACUUCAGUUUUUUGGGCAUUGACAUAUUGUCUCAGUGAGUCUGCAGUUGGUAUUCAGUCAGUAUAGUCACUGUCUCAGCAAGUUCACACCUGCUAGUUAAAUAGUAUAGUCACUAAGUCAUUCAGAACCUUGCAGUUAGAAGGUAUAAAUGUAAGUGAGCUUGUGUUUGGACAUCCAGAGUGAAUAGUAAGUUCACAGUGAAAUUUAUAACUUGUGAAUCUGUUUCAAUGAUUAUUGUCCCUUGUCAGAAUUUGGAAUAUUCUCGAAGUUUGUGUAGCUUACUGACAUGCAAAGAUAGUGAUGUCCUACUGUAGUUUUUCAAAGUUGAUCAUCAAAGUUAACUGUAUGGUAAUAAGUGUGUAGAGAAAUGAAAACAAAUAUACUGUGCUAUGUACAUCAUUUAAUAACAGUUCACCACCAUCAGUAAACAUGGGAAGGAGAGUAAAGCAGACAUUCUACAAGAGUUAUGAACAGUGCUUACGGUCCAGGCCAGUAAGUUACAAUAUGGCCUAUCACAUACGCUACUCACUUCAGAAAUGUAAUUACAGCCACCAUCAACAUAAGCAAUGAGAAUGAUGAUGUAUUUUGUAUAUUUUAAACAGUAUAAUAGGUACAAUUUACAUUUGUUUGCUUUCUAAGAAAUUUAUUGUGCUUUACCUUUUUAAUGA